Molecule: unclassified non-coding RNA, 229 nt
Filed under: plant metagenome
Description: partial contains small subunit ribosomal RNA, internal transcribed spacer 1, and 5.8S ribosomal RNA
Source: RNAcentral
UCUCCGUAGGUGAACCUGCGGAGGGAUCAUUACAGAGUUCUCGCCCUCGCGGGUAGAUCUCCCACCCACUGUUAUCGUUACUGUGUUGCUUUGGCGGGCCGCCGUGCCCCGCUCGGCCGCCGGCUCCGGCUGGCGCGCGCCCGCCAGAGGCCCAGCAAACUCUGAAUGUUAGUGUCGUCUGAGUACUAUAUAAUAGUUAAAACUUUCAACAACGGAUCUCUUGGUUCUG